Long non-coding RNA from Melanotaenia boesemani (Boeseman's rainbowfish), 99 nucleotides. RefSeq lists it as uncharacterized. The transcript is spliced from 3 exons. The record is from RefSeq and is a predicted model, not a curated record. Lineage: Eukaryota; Metazoa; Chordata; Actinopteri; Atheriniformes; Melanotaeniidae.
GUUUUACAAAAAUAAAGGAGAAAAAGAAUCUCGUGGAAUAAAAGCCUUGAAGUUACUCCAUUGACUGUUAACUGUCUGUCUAACAAGAUAAGCAUCCGG